GGCGCUAUAGCCAAGUGGUUACGGCGACAGAUUAGAACGGGAACUGUUCGUUCAUAUGAUCUGUUCCUCUUUGAGGGCGCAGGUUCAAAUCCUGCUGGCGUCG
Molecule: non-coding RNA, 103 nt
Organism: Crassisporium funariophilum
Lineage: Eukaryota; Fungi; Basidiomycota; Agaricomycetes; Agaricales; Crassisporiaceae
Source: the annotation of a GenBank genome assembly